Molecule: ribosomal RNA, 588 nt
Filed under: Salmonella enterica subsp. enterica serovar Anatum
Lineage: Bacteria; Pseudomonadati; Pseudomonadota; Gammaproteobacteria; Enterobacterales; Enterobacteriaceae
Description: partial 23S ribosomal RNA
Rfam family: Bacterial large subunit ribosomal RNA
Source: RNAcentral
AAUCCAUAGGUUAAUGAGGCGAACCGGGGGAACUGAAACAUCUAAGUACCCCGAGGAAAAGAAAUCAACCGAGAUUCCCCCAGUAGCGGCGAGCGAACGGGGAGGAGCCCAGAGCCUGAAUCAGCAUGUGUGUUAGUGGAAGCGUCUGGAAAGGCGCGCGAUACAGGGUGACAGCCCCGUACACAAAAGCGCAUGUGCUGUGAGCUCGAUGAGUAGGGCGGGACACGUGGUAUCCUGUCUGAAUAUGGGGGGACCAUCCUCCAAGGCUAAAUACUCCUGACUGACCGAUAGUGAACCAGUACCGUGAGGGAAAGGCGAAAAGAACCCCGGCGAGGGGAGUGAAAAAGAACCUGAAACCGUGUACGUACAAGCAGUGGGAGCCCCACCACCAAAGCAUUCUCUGGUGUUGAAGGCCCUGCAAAGCAGCAUCGCGGUGGCGGAGCGUCGUUUGCGACGCCCAACACACAAAACAAGCGGUGAGUGCUUUGGGGUGGGGUGACUGCGUACCUUUUGUAUAAUGGGUCAGCGACUUAUAUUCUGUAGCAAGGUUAACCGUAUAGGGGAGCCGUAGGGAAACCGAGUCUUAAC